GGGCCCGCACAAGCGGUGGAGCAUGUGGCUUAAUUCGAGGCAACGCGAAGAACCUUACCUGGUCUUGACAUGCCCGUCAUAGUUUUCCGAAAGGAAUUCGUCGGUUCGGCCGGACGGUGCACAGGUGCUGCAUGGCUGUCGUCAGCUCGUGUCGUGAGAUGUUCGGUUAAGUCCGGCAACGAGCGCAACCCUCGUUCCUAGUUGCCAGCGGGUAAUGCCGGGGACUCUAGGAAGACAAACCUCGUGUAGAGGUGGGAAGGUGGGGACGACGUCAAGUCAGUAUGGCCCUUACGACCAGGGCUGCACACGUGCUACAAUGCUCGGCACAAUGGGAUGCAACGCCGCGAGGUUGAGCUAAUCCAUAAAACCGAGCCCAGUUCGGAUUGGAGUCUGCAACUCGACUCCAUGAAGUUGGAAUCGCUAGUAA
This 427-nucleotide ribosomal RNA is filed under the name uncultured bacterium. RNAcentral describes it as "bacterial SSU rRNA". It matches the Rfam family "Bacterial small subunit ribosomal RNA", at positions 917 to 1341 of the family's 1533-position model. The record is from RNAcentral.